This 210-nucleotide long non-coding RNA is filed under the name Physcomitrium patens. RNAcentral's name for it is "long non-coding RNA (PPAT_LNC009429)". The record is from RNAcentral. Lineage: Eukaryota; Viridiplantae; Streptophyta; Bryopsida; Funariales; Funariaceae.
UUAAAAUUCUAAUGAAUAUUAAUCAAAUCAUAAAUCAAAUCAGGAUAAAAUCUUAUUAAAAUCCUAAAUCUUAAUCAAAUCAGGAUAAAAUCUUAAUCAAAUCUUAAAUCUUAAUCAAAUCUUAAAUCUUAAUCAAAUCCUAAAUCCUAGACCAACUUUAAUAAAAUUCUAAAUCCUAAUCAAAUCCUAAUCAAAUAUUAAUACUAGACC